Molecule: long non-coding RNA, 305 nt
Filed under: Lathyrus oleraceus (garden pea)
Lineage: Eukaryota; Viridiplantae; Streptophyta; Magnoliopsida; Fabales; Fabaceae
Description: Pisum sativum (pea) long non-coding RNA (PSAT_LNC023076)
Source: RNAcentral
UUUCAACAAAAAUAGAUAAAUAAAAUCAAAAUCGUUUAAUUGAAUAGUGACAUGUGGCACAUUAAUAAAACAAAAAAAAGUGAACGAAAUCAAAUGAAACAAUGCAGGCACGAAAUCUUAGAAAUAUAUUUUCUCCACUUUUAUGAAAACAAGACAAGCUCCUCCCCAAAUAUUCAUGAAUGUAUUCAUUUAGCAACAAAUAAACUCUCUCAUUUCGCAUGAAAAUUCAACGAAACAAACAUCCUAUCUCACUCUCUAUUCUCUCUCAGUUUUUAUUUUUUAAAGAUAUAUCAAACUAAAGCAGC